AUGAGAGGCGGAGAGCGUGGCCACUCCCACACCCAUCAGACCACGCCCACUCCCGCAGACCACGCCCACUUCCCAAAGCCCCGCCUCUUCCUCCCCCGCAGCCAAUCAGAUGAGGAGGGCGUGGCCACGCCCCCCCUGGCGGUGGGCGCCAUGUUGGGAGCGGGGUGGUCGGUGAAGGGCGGCCCUAUAGGGGCUAUAGGGGAGAUCUAUAGGGGAUCUAUGGGGAUCUAUGGGGAUAAAAUGGCACCAAAAGGGGCCAAAAUGGUGACGUAAAUGGGAGACAAAAUGGCGGCCGUGGAAGGGGGACAAAAUGGCGGCCGUGGAAGGGGGACAAAAUGGCGGCCGUGGAAGGGAGACAAAAUGGCGUCGGUGGGUGACAGUAAAGACGUUUUAACCCCCAAAAAAUGCUUCUUUUUGCUUUUUUCUUCUCGAUUUUAUGGCAAUUUUGGGUUAAUUUGGGGGAAAAUUGGGUAUUUUGAGGGAUAUUGUGUUACUUUGGGGAAAAAUGGGUUAUUUUGUAGGGAAAUCAGGUCAACUUGAGGAAAAAUGGGAUAUUUUGGGGUAAAUUGGGUGAAAAUGGGGUAUUUUGAGAGAAAAUGGAUAAUUUGGGGGGAAAAUAGGAUUAAUUUGGUGGAAAAUUGGGGUUAUUUUGUGGAGAAAAAGGUGAAAAUGGUUUUAUUUUGUAUGAAAAUGGUUUAUUAAAAGUUUCUUUUACAGCGUUACCAAAAACCCUUUGUUUUAUUGUGGAUUUGUUUAGGCCUCACCCCAUCCCUGCCCCCCCAACCCCACCCCACACCUCAUAUAUGGGUCAAAAAGGGGUUUGGGGGGGGGGGUCUUGGGAUGGGUUUGGGGUUGGGGGGGUUUGGGGUGGGUUUGGGGGGGAUUUGGGGGUGAAUAUGGGGGUGGGUUUGGGGUUGGGGGUGAAUUUGAGGAUGGGUUUGGGGUUGGUUUGAGGGUGGGUUUGUGUUGAGGGUGGGUUUGGGGAUAGGUUUGUGGUAAGGGGGGGGUUUGGGGGUGAAUAUGGGGGUGGGUUUGGGGUUGGGGGGGGGUUGUUGUAUUGAGGGGGGGUCCCCGCUACGUGCUGUGCUUCUGUCUCUUCCAGAAGCGUUUGACGUCGGGGUGACCCGCCGGGGUGACCACCAUGAGACGCCGGGUCGGGUUCUCAAACACCAACACCCCCAAAGAUCUGGCGUGGUCACGAAGGACCUCGAAAUCCACCUGGGACAGGAACUGGUUGUACAGCACCCCUGGGUGAUAAGGGGGGGGGGGGAAG
RNAcentral lists this long non-coding RNA (1273 nucleotides) under Coturnix japonica (Japanese quail). RNAcentral's name for it is "lncRNA (ENSCJPG00005001407.1)". Lineage: Eukaryota; Metazoa; Chordata; Aves; Galliformes; Phasianidae. The record is from RNAcentral.